AGACUCCCUCCACCGCCUAUUCAUCCAGGUGAUUACUUCUUUGCAUGAAAACAUUGAGGAUGAGUUUCAGUCUUUAUGCCUUGAAACUCAGGCGGGAAACACUCUUGAUACUGUGGAGCAACUUGUGGAAGAACAAGGCCUGGAUCCAUUGUCUUCAGAUAAUGAGAGGACCCUGCGGAUACUUGAAGCUGUACAGCCAUUUCCCUGGACAUGGUCAGAGCAGAGUACUUCAUGUACUUAACAGCUCUAGAUUUUAUGUUCACAUUCUGAUU
Pistacia vera is the source of this 272-nucleotide long non-coding RNA. RefSeq lists it as uncharacterized. The record is from RefSeq and is a predicted model, not a curated record. The transcript is spliced from 5 exons. Lineage: Eukaryota; Viridiplantae; Streptophyta; Magnoliopsida; Sapindales; Anacardiaceae.